This 662-nucleotide ribosomal RNA is filed under the name uncultured prokaryote. Its description in RNAcentral is "bacterial SSU rRNA". It matches the Rfam family "Bacterial small subunit ribosomal RNA", at positions 524 to 1189 of the family's 1533-position model. The record is from RNAcentral.
UACGGAGGAUCCAAGCGUUAUCCGGAUUUAUUGGGUUUAAAGGGUGCGUAGGCGGCCUAUUAAGUCAGGGGUGAAAGACGGUGGCUCAACCAUCGCAGUGCCCUUGAUACUGAUGGGCUUGAAUGAACUAGAGGUAGGCGGAAUGUGACAAGUAGCGGUGAAAUGCAUAGAUAUGUCACAGAACACCGAUUGCGAAGGCAGCUUACUAUGGUUUUAUUGACGCUGAGGCACGAAAGCGUGGGGAUCAAACAGGAUUAGAUACCCUGGUAGUCCACGCCCUAAACGAUGAAUACUCGCUGUUAGCGAUAUACAGUUAGCGGCUAAGCGAAAGCGUUAAGUAUUCCACCUGGGGAGUACGCCCGCAAGGGUGAAACUCAAAGGAAUUGACGGGGGCCCGCACAAGCGGAGGAGCAUGUGGUUUAAUUCGAUGAUACGCGAGGAACCUUACCCGGGCUUGAAAGUUAGUGAAUGAUUUAGAGAUAGAUCAGUGAGCAAUCACACGAAACUAGGUGCUGCAUGGCUGUCGUCAGCUCGUGCCGUGAGGUGUUGGGUUAAGUCCCGCAACGAGGCGCAACCCCUAUGUUUAGUUGCCAGCACGUUAAGGUGGGGACUCAAAACAGACUGCCUGUGCAAACAGAGAGGAAGGAGGGGACGACGUCAAG